UACUUAGUACGGCGAGUGAGCGGAAAGCUCAAAUUUGAAUCUGGUACUUUCAGUGCCCGAGUUGUAAUUUGUAGAAUUUGUCUUUGAUUAGGUCCUUGUCUAUGUUCCUUGGAACAGGACGUCAUAGAGGGUGAGAAUCCCGUUUGGCGAGGAUACCUUUUCUCUGUAAGACUUUUUCGAAGAGUCGAGUUGUUUGGGAAU
This 201-nucleotide ribosomal RNA is filed under the name Hanseniaspora guilliermondii. Its description in RNAcentral is "partial 26S ribosomal RNA". It matches the Rfam family "Eukaryotic large subunit ribosomal RNA", at positions 77 to 281 of the family's 3401-position model. The record is from RNAcentral. Lineage: Eukaryota; Fungi; Ascomycota; Saccharomycetes; Saccharomycodales; Saccharomycodaceae.